Molecule: long non-coding RNA, 505 nt
Filed under: Homo sapiens (human)
Lineage: Eukaryota; Metazoa; Chordata; Mammalia; Primates; Hominidae
Description: non-protein coding LINC01669:9
Source: RNAcentral
CACUCACAGUGCGCUCACUCUGAACCUCUGUGCACACGAUGGGCCUGCAUCUCUUCCCACUAUCUGCUAGGAAACACGAGGCUGGGGGCAGGGGUAAUGGGGCCAGGGGGUAAUGGCAGGUGAGGCCAUGGCCUAGAGGGUUGCCAUGCUUGGUGCAGGGGAGGAGAGGCCCAGGUGUGGCUGCAGUGGCAGCAGGAGUCAGUGUGGCUGUGCCCAGUGGGAUGUUGUCAGAGAAUGGACCUGGCUGCUGGGAAAGGUGAUUGUGUUUGUCUGAGCCACACUGGACUCUUCUCUGACCAGCAAGCACAUUCUGGAGAUGCGGGGCAGAGACGAGGCCUCCGUGAGAACCUUUGAGGUGUGAGGGCCUUGAUCUGGGGUGCAGCCUCCAGCUUUCUGCUUACAGAGCAGGACCUGCAGGAGCUCGCUGACUGCCUGCACAGUGGAAGGAAGACCUGUUUCUUUUACUUUCCUUGAGGAGAAAAAAUUAAAGUUCUGAGCAAACGCA